Long non-coding RNA from Capsella rubella, 246 nucleotides. RefSeq lists it as uncharacterized. Lineage: Eukaryota; Viridiplantae; Streptophyta; Magnoliopsida; Brassicales; Brassicaceae. The transcript is spliced from 2 exons. The record is from RefSeq and is a predicted model, not a curated record.
UUGGUGUGGAAGCUCCCUUAGUCCAGUGGUUGACGAAAGGUUGUUUAAAGCUUCUACACCAAAAAGAGCCGUGAUUCUACGCAUGGAGAAGGAGGUGUCGUCAGGAAAUGGUGUAAUCUGUGGUGAAUCUAAAAGGGUCGGACAGAAUUGUCGGUAGUAAAAUCGUCAUUGUAACAAUUCUCAUAAUUUGCAAUAAAUAAUAAAUCAAGAGUUAAAAAAAAAAUCUGUCUAUAUUGGAAGUAUAUG